RNAcentral lists this unclassified non-coding RNA (355 nucleotides) under soil metagenome. RNAcentral describes it as "partial contains 5.8S ribosomal RNA, internal transcribed spacer 2, and large subunit ribosomal RNA". The stretch from base 1 to 120 matches the Rfam family "5.8S ribosomal RNA", at positions 35 to 154 of the family's 154-position model. The record is from RNAcentral.
GAUGAAGAACGCAGCGAAAUGCGAUAAGUAAUGUGAAUUGCAGAAUUCAGUGAAUCAUCGAAUCUUUGAACGCACAUUGCGCCCGCCGGUAUUCCGGCGGGCAUGCCUGUCCGAGCGUCAUUUCACCACUCAAGCCCGGCUUGGUGUUGGGGCGCCCGGCCGCCUGGCGGUCGGGGCCCCCAAGUACAUCGGCAGUCCUGCUGGGGCUCCGAGCGCAGUAACUCGCGGUAAAACGCGCCCUCGCUCGGCGGCCUCUUCGGGCUUCCAGCCGCUAAACCCCCAGUGACGUUUUUCGAGUUGACCUCGGAUCAGGUAGGAAUACCCGCUGAACUUAAGCAUAUCAAUAAGCGGAGGA